Molecule: ribosomal RNA, 121 nt
Filed under: Candidatus Collierbacteria bacterium GW2011_GWA1_44_12
Lineage: Bacteria; Candidatus Collieribacteriota
Also listed under: 3 other names
Source: RNAcentral
UGUCCGGUGAUCUGAGCGGCUUGGACCCACCUCUUCCCAUUUCGAACAGAGAAGUGAAACGGGCCAGCGUCGAUGAUAGUGAUUGGGCAACUGAUCGUGAAAGUAGAUCAUCGCCGGGCAA